RNAcentral lists this long non-coding RNA (743 nucleotides) under Homo sapiens (human). RNAcentral describes it as "HSALNT0371924". The record is from RNAcentral. Lineage: Eukaryota; Metazoa; Chordata; Mammalia; Primates; Hominidae.
UCUCACAGUCUCUGUGUCUCACUGUCACUGAGAACUGAGCCCCUUUCCCUUCCCCAUCCGGUGUUUUGAGGGGCCUCAUGUUCUGCUCUUGAGCUGGCCAGAGCCUUGCCUCUUCCCGAACACAAGUUCUGACCGAUGACCCUGGGCUGGAGCCACUUCCAGGAGGGUUUGGCUGCAACCUCUGCCGCCGUCUUGCCCCAUGGGGGCAGCUUGUUUGAAACUGGAACUGGGAGAGCAGAGCAGGGCUGGGGAGCCAGUCUAGGUUAGCUGCUGCCAUCGCAGUGAAGAUGGUCCAGUCGGAUACGCCGCCUGAACCUCAGCACCACACAUGGUUCCUGGAGCCCAAGUCAGUGGGAUGUUUGUCAUUUGGGUCCCCGGCACCUUCCUACAGGGUCCACGCGGAGGAUCUGAACUCAGAAACUUGAGGACUUCACCUUGCUACAAAGGCAUCACAGCCCUGACAUCACGCAGCUUUGAUAAUCCACCAGGUGUUUAAUCACAGGGACAGAGCACACCUCAAAGUGGUUUACGCACACACACAAAGAGGAAAUUCGCUGACAGGAGUUGAGAUGAGAGUGACAGGUUAUGGGCUCCAGGGGCGGCGCAGUCCAGGCAUUCCCACGAUGUCCUGUGGGCUGUGCCAGAACCCUGGGAAGAGCAACGUGGUCGGAGGGUCCCGGGGGAGAGUGGGUGGCGGAGGGUCCCCGGGGAGAGCAGGGUGGCCGGAGGGUCCGGGGGGAGAG